RNAcentral lists this small nuclear RNA (114 nucleotides) under Leersia perrieri. RNAcentral describes it as "snRNA U5". It matches the Rfam family "U5 spliceosomal RNA". From Rfam's summary of the family: U5 RNA is a component of both types of known spliceosome. The precise function of this molecule is unknown, though it is known that the 5' loop is required for splice site selection and p220 binding, and that both the 3' stem-loop and the Sm site are important for Sm protein binding and cap methylation. The record is from RNAcentral. Lineage: Eukaryota; Viridiplantae; Streptophyta; Magnoliopsida; Poales; Poaceae.
AGCUGUGCAGGGGGCACAAAGCGAAUUAUUCUUUCGCCUUUUACUAAAGAAUACCGUGUGCUUGCUGCAGAUAGCAGCAUAAUCAAAUUUUUUGAGGGUAUUUCCUGCAUACGG